This 445-nucleotide ribosomal RNA is filed under the name uncultured bacterium. RNAcentral describes it as "partial 16S ribosomal RNA". It matches the Rfam family "Bacterial small subunit ribosomal RNA", at positions 330 to 792 of the family's 1533-position model. The record is from RNAcentral.
ACCAGACUCCUACGGGAGGCAGCAGUGGGGGAUAUUGCACAAUGGGGGAAACCCUGAUGCAGCGACGCCGCGUGGGUGAAGAAGUAUUUCGGUAUGUAAAGCCCUCUCAGCAGGGAAGAAAGAAGACGGUACCUGACUAAGAAGCCCCGGCUAACUACGUGCCAGCAGCCGCGGUAAUACGUAGGGGCGAGCGUUAUCCGGAUUCACUGGGUGUAAAGGGAGCGUAGACGGCCGUGCAAGCCAGGAGUGAAAGCCCGGGGCCCAACCCCGGGACUGCUCUUGGAACUGUGCGGCUGGAGUGCGGGAGGGGCAGGCGGAAUUCCUGGUGUAGCGGUGAAAUGCGUAGAUAUCAGGAGGAACACCGGCGGCGAAGGCGGCCUGCUGGACCGCGACUGACGUUGAGGCUCGAAAGCGUGGGGAGCGAACAGGAUUAGAUACCCUAGUA